Polypterus senegalus (gray bichir) is the source of this 1891-nucleotide long non-coding RNA. RefSeq lists it as uncharacterized. The record is from RefSeq and is a predicted model, not a curated record. The transcript has 2 exons. Lineage: Eukaryota; Metazoa; Chordata; Cladistia; Polypteriformes; Polypteridae.
UCACCCUCCAGCGCUCAUCCUAUCAGCUCCAUCAACUCUAAUUAACAAAACCGGAGUAAAGUUAGUUUGCAUAGAGAGCCUGCAGUUUGGAAUAAUCACGAAGACUUAAUCGCCUCCUCCUCCUCCUGCUGCCCUCCCCUUUGGAUCUUGUGUCAAUAUUUGACCAGAGCAAACGCACCGUGUGACAGGUGUACCAGAGACAGUCCUCUCACUUUAAAAGCUCAUAUCCUUUUUUCACUCCUAUACCUUUACAGAUAAAUGGCACGGUUGUUAUUUUUAACCCGGCUAUAUAAACUCGCACUUUCGAGCAAAAGGUUCAUUUUCCCCUUAUGAUCGCAAGAGGGAGAAAUCGCGAGUUUUCAUUUCUGUCUUCAACUGCCGACGUGUCACCUUUAGUAAAACCCGACAGGUGAGACGAUUUCAUUAUGAGCCCGGGGGAUUUACUCUACAGUCUGGAGCAAAAAAAAAAAAAAAAUAAGGAAAAAGAAAUGUUUAAAAUGCAGUCAAGAAUGACAUCCCAGACGGGUAGACGUACAGCAUCUGUACACGGAAAGCUUCAUCCGAAGAUGUCAAGAAGUGAAGAAGUGGAGCAGCAGGGACCCCCGAGCAGUUUUCUGUAUUUGCCUCACGUUGAGCCGGUCGUACAAUACCUAAAGCUGAAGUUUUGUUCGUUCGGCUCGCGUUAAGCAGCUGCAGAUUUUCAACGAUUCUGCCAAGCGAAAUUCUGGAGAAGAAGAAAAUCUUUUUUGCCUCCUUCACUGUGCACCAUACUAAUAACAUAUUUUUAUUUAGGAAAUGAUGAAAUAUCACGUAAAAGGCACUUUGAAGAGAAAGCACGGUGAAUAAAUCCUGAUCCUUUUUAAAGGAGGCAAUUCAGGACAGUGUUUGGACGUUUCCAUAAAAUAUUAUAAAAAACACUAUUGUUACUUUAUUUCAAGGGCGACUGCUUAAAAUUAUGUACUUUUUUUGUAAAAUAAAUCCCUUUUUAGUUUUCAGAUAUUAAGAAAGCCAGACAACAACUGAAAAUCAAAAGAAUUUAGUACUUUUAUAAGUUGGGUCCUUAUGGCAGGAGUAGCGUGUAACACCAUUUCGUAUCUUGCAGGUGAUCUCCUGGGAACAAAGUAUGGAACUAGAAAUUUCAUGGCAAAACUGCAAUUCAAAUUGGAUUUUUUUGAAAAAUAUUUUAGCGCUAACUUUGAAUGUUUUUGAAAAGGUUUAGAUUCAUCCAUAUAGAGAACUAUUAUUAAUUCAUAUUAAUACAGACCUCCGUAAUCCUGAUCUGGGAGAUUUUCUAAUCUGGGUUAGAAAAUGGAUGACUGUUUCUUAUGGAUCCUGUGGAUCUUUGUUAAAUUUACAUUAAAUUAGCACUUAAAUCUGUGGGUAUAUACUGUAUGUAUAUUUAUAUAGCCUACUCUAUGCACUGCCAGCCCAUACAUAAUCUGGCAAUGCUAUUCUGAGGGAAAUCACCUAUGGGUGAAUGUUUAUUGCAUGUAAUAAAAACAUUUUGUUUUCUCCGGGUAUAUGAACUUUCAUUCUUUGAAGUCUGAAUGCCUUUAGCAGUGUAACUGAAAUACGUUCUGAAAUGGUUCAUGAAUGGAACUUUACUGAGUUAUUUGGUUCCUUGUUGAAUCAUUUCUCAACAAAUAAACCAUUUUAUUCUGGAAAGGGUUUUUUUGAAUAUAAAGUUGGUUCUUUGGGCUUGAAGAGGUUCCUAAUUUGUGCACAACAUUGAAAUCUUUAAUUUAUAUUAGCAGGAUACUGACAGAUCAAGAAAACCUGAACUUACCCUGUGUGGAUGUAUAUACAGCAAGAGAUCUUUUCAAAAUCUUGUUAUCAUAUGUUCAUUUAUGAAACCCUUUACAAUCUAAAUAAAGGUUCUUUUUGGAUCUCA